GAUGAAGAACGUAGCGAAAUGCGAUAAGUAAUGUGAAUUGCAGAAUUCAGUGAAUCAUCGAAUCUUUGAACGCACAUUGCGCCCGCCAGUAUUCUGGCGGGCAUGCCUGUCCGAGCGUCAUUUCAACCCUCGAACCCCUCCGGGGGGUCGGCGUUGGGGAUCGGCCCUGCCUCUUGGCGGUGGCCGUCUCCGAAAUACAGUGGCGGUCUCGCCGCAGCCUCUCCUGCGCAGUAGUUUGCACACUCGCAUCGGGAGCGCGGCGCGUCCACAGCCGUUAAACACCCAACUUCUGAAAUGUUGACCUCGGAUCAGGUAGGAAUACCCGCUGAACUUAAGCAUAUCAAUAAGCGGAAGA
This 355-nucleotide unclassified non-coding RNA is filed under the name soil metagenome. RNAcentral's name for it is "partial contains 5.8S ribosomal RNA, internal transcribed spacer 2, and large subunit ribosomal RNA". The stretch from base 1 to 120 matches the Rfam family "5.8S ribosomal RNA", at positions 35 to 154 of the family's 154-position model. The record is from RNAcentral.